GACGAACGCUGGCGGCGUGCUUAACACAUGCAAGUCGAACGGAAAGGCCCUGCUUGCAGGGUACUCGAGUGGCGAACGGGUGAGUAACACGUGGGUGAUCUGCCCUGCACUUCGGGAUAAGCCUGGGAAACUGGGUCUAAUACCGGAUAGGAGCCAUUUUUAGUGUGAUGGUUGGAAAGUUUUUUCGGUGUAGGAUGAGCUCGCGGCCUAUCAGCUUGUUGGUGGGGUAAUGGCCUACCAAGGCGGCGACGGGCAGCCGGCCUGAGAGGGUGGACGGCCACAUUGGGACUGAGAUACGGCCCAGACUCCUACGGGAGGCAGCAGUGGGGAAUAUUGCACAAUGGGCGCAAGCCUGAUGCAGCGACGCCGCGUGGGGGAUGACGGCCUUCGGGUUGUAAACUCCUUUCGCUAGGGACGAAGCUUUUUGUGACGGUACCUAGAUAAGAAGCACCGGCUAACUACGUG
RNAcentral lists this ribosomal RNA (465 nucleotides) under uncultured bacterium. RNAcentral describes it as "partial 16S ribosomal RNA". It matches the Rfam family "Bacterial small subunit ribosomal RNA", at positions 28 to 507 of the family's 1533-position model. The record is from RNAcentral.